GAACGCUGGCGGCGUGCCUAAUACAUGCAAGUCGAACGGUCUUUCUAUGGAAGCUUGCUUCCACUGAGAAGAUAGUGGCGGACGGGUGAGUAACACGUGGGUAACCUGCCCAUAAGAGGGGGAUAACAUCCGGAAACGGGUGCUAAUACCGCAUAGUUUUCUUGAUCGCAUGAUUGAGAAAGGAAAGACGGCCUUUGUGCUGUCGCUUAUGGAUGGACCCGCGGCGUAUUAGUUAGUUGGUGAGGUAAUGGCUCACCAAGACGAUGAUACGUAGCCGACCUGAGAGGGUGAUCGGCCACAUUGGGACUGAGACACGGCCCAAACUCCUACGGGAGGCAGCAGUAGGGAAUCUUCCGCAAUGGACGAAAGUCUGACGGAGCAACGCCGCGUGAGUGAAGAAAGGUUUUCGGAUCGUAAAACUCUGUUGUCAGAGAAGAACAAGUUGGAGAGUAACUGCUCCAGCCUUGACGGUAUCUGACCAGAAAGCCACGGCUAACUACGUGCCAGCCGCCGC
This 514-nucleotide ribosomal RNA is filed under the name uncultured bacterium. RNAcentral describes it as "bacterial SSU rRNA". It matches the Rfam family "Bacterial small subunit ribosomal RNA", at positions 31 to 518 of the family's 1533-position model. The record is from RNAcentral.